AAGACUGUAAUUCAGUGAAAAUCAAAUAAAGUGAUUUUUUGUAGUGCUCCAUCAGUAGAUCUGUUUGUCACCUUUGUGGCUGUCAUAGAAGCAUGAUAUAUUCAAUACAGGGGAGCGGGAAUAGGGGGAUAUGAAUGAUUGUCAGUGGACAUAAUAUUUGCACAGAUAUGGCAGUUAACUGCCUCUUUACUGUGUUACAGACCAUUCAUAAUCACUGCCAUCACUCUAGAGUUUUCUACCAGAUACUUUUAUGAAAAUAUUGUUUAAAAAGAAUUAGAAGAUGAGGUGGAUAGAAAUUCAGGUCAUACUGAACCGAGUUUGCAAGCAGUUCCAGAAGUAGCAAAGCUGAUCAUUUUCUGUAGGUCUGAUAUCAGAGAGUAAUCUCACAUUCUUGCUUCUUCUUCAUGGGUCAAUAAUUAGGUCAAACUUUUAACAGCUGUCAGAGACCUCCCCCAUUCUGUUGUUCUUUGUUAAGUGGUCCCAGCAUGUUUAAAAGUUUUCAGGGAAAGGGAAGAAACAGCAGCUACAUGCAAUGCUUGCCUGGACUGUGGGAUCAGGUUGGCAUUGUUUUCUUAGACUAAAUUAACAUAAUCGCUCUUGGAGGUGAAAUGCACAGUUGCAAUCAGCCAAAAAGGCACAGAUCCUUUACUCACUUCCAACAGACAGCCUCUUGUCUUCAGUGCUUUCCAUCACACCUGCAGGUGUUAUACUCUUCAGUAGGAGAAAAUCAUUAAUUCUUUCCUUGAAAAGCUCAAAUUUGAAAAAGCCAAUGUUCCCCUGCAAUGACCUUGCUGCCUUAUGAUACUCGGCAGGAAGAGAAAAUCAGUAACUUUUUCCUUGAAAGGCUCAAAUAUGAAAAAGCUAGAGUUCCCCUACAGUGACCCUUUUGCUGCUUUACUCCCACCUCCCUUUCAUCAUCUCACUUCUCAUGGGGCUUGAAGAAAAAUGCGUACACCUUAAGUUAGGGAAAAGCUCUGUAACUGUACAAUUCACAGGUGGAGUUUAAGGAAGGUGAACUAAGGGGCACUGAGUCUGUAAUUUCUUUCAUGUGUUCUGUAUGUUUGUGCAACACAGAGCUAGCAGGGCCUUUCCGGGCUCCCUGGAGACACCCAAAAAGCUUCGUAGUAGAAGGGAGUGAGUGCAGCAAGUAUGCAGGCAGCUGAAGGGCAGCCCGGAGAUGAUUUUCAAACCACAGCAGAGGAAACUGUCAAGGAAAUGUGACAGUAGGGGAGAUACCUGCACGAGCUCAUAAGCUCUGUGCUCCUCCACUACCUGUGGAAGUCUUGUGCAAAUCUGUGAAUUCAGUGGGCUCGAGUUUAUCCCAGGCUUUGCUCUGCUCCUGGUUCCAGAUACAUGCUUUGGCCAGCACAGGUGUUUGAGAGGUGAUGAAAGGCUUCUGUUGAGGGCCUGAGCCCUGCUCUGUUGACUUUGAUUUUCUUGCUCAACUCCCAGUCUGUUCUUGUAGAAUGACAGCUUCAGUUUGGAUAAUCCUCUGUGUGGACUUGCUUGUCAUGUUUACAGAGGUGUUAAAUGGAAGCUGAGGUCUUUCUCUGGGAGAACGAAAAAGCAUGAUGAGGUUCAGUCAUGAUGAGGUACAG
This is a long non-coding RNA of Cygnus olor (mute swan), 1598 nucleotides long. RefSeq lists it as uncharacterized. NCBI's taxonomy places the organism in Eukaryota, Metazoa, Chordata, Aves, Anseriformes, Anatidae. The record is from RefSeq and is a predicted model, not a curated record. The transcript has 3 exons.